This 552-nucleotide ribosomal RNA is filed under the name Triticum aestivum (bread wheat). Its description in RNAcentral is "partial small subunit ribosomal RNA". The record is from RNAcentral. Lineage: Eukaryota; Viridiplantae; Streptophyta; Magnoliopsida; Poales; Poaceae.
AUGGCUCCGCCCGCUUCGCACGCCGGCGCCGCGCUGGUGCGCCUCCCACCCCGCCGCGCGCCGAGCUCCCUGCCGCAGCAAGGUUUUGGCCGCGCCGGAGCCUUGCGGGUGGCCGUGCGUGCCACCAAGGACUCGGACGGGUUCAGACGUCUGGUCUCUGAGAAGCCCGAGUGGCCGGCGCCGGCGCCGGCGAAGCGGGAGGGGCUGGAUGGUUUCGGCCGGGAGGCGAGCAAUGGGGAGGAAGACGGGCAGGUGCAGGGCGAGCUGGCUCCGUGGAGCGUUCUCAACCAGCUGGGCGUCGAGUUGGAUUCUGACAGUUCAUAUACUGCUCUAGUCUAUGGGUCCUCCGCCAUUGUUGCUAUUUGGAUAUCAUCAAUAGUGGUUUCUGCACUUGAAUCAGUCCCCGUGGUUCCUCAGGUGAUGGAAGUGGUUGGCCUCGGCUUCACAGUUUGGUUCACCUCGCGAUAUCUGAUAUUUAAGGAAAACAGGGACGAGUUGAUCAUGAGAAUCAGCUCCAUCAAGAAGCAGGUACUUGGGUCUCGUGACGACUGA